CGUAGGUGGCGAACGUUAUCCGGAAUUAUUGGGCGUAAAGGGUGCGUAGAUGGUUUAGUAAGUUAUCGGUGGUAAAUCGAGGCCCAACCUCGUGGAAGUUGGUAAUACUACUAUACUUGAGUACAGGAGAGGUUAACGGAAUGGUUCAUGUAGGGGUAAAAUCCGUAGAUAUCGAGAGGAACACCUGCGGCGAAGGCGGGUUGCUGGGCUGACACUGACGCUGAGGCGCGAAAGCUAGGGGAGCGAACGGGAUUAGAUACCCCGGUAGUCCUAGCCUUAAACGAUGAAUGCUUGGUGUCUGGGGUUUUAUAGUCCCCGGGUGCCGUCGCUAACGCUUUAAGCAUUCCGCCUGGGGAGUACGGUCGCAAGACUG
RNAcentral lists this ribosomal RNA (373 nucleotides) under uncultured organism. Its description in RNAcentral is "bacterial SSU rRNA". It matches the Rfam family "Bacterial small subunit ribosomal RNA", at positions 526 to 896 of the family's 1533-position model. The record is from RNAcentral.